Molecule: transfer RNA, 72 nt
Filed under: Planctomycetales bacterium 71-10
Lineage: Bacteria; Pseudomonadati; Planctomycetota; Planctomycetia; Planctomycetales
Description: tRNA-Glu
Rfam family: tRNA
About the family: Transfer RNA (tRNA) molecules are approximately 80 nucleotides in length.
Source: RNAcentral
GGCCCGUUCGUCUAUCGGCCAGGACGCCGCCCUUUCAAGGCGGGGAGGAGGGUUCGACUCCCUCACGGGCUG